UCAUUAGGUGUGGUUCACAUCAAACAUGCUUUUAUUCAAUAAACGAUGAGCAAUAUCAGGAGCCUUAUUGUUUUCCUACAAACAUAAUACAUCCAAUAACAUUUAGUCCUGUCAAACAGUUUUAGAAGUUUUAUCUUGCGAAGUCAUAAGUUUUUGUUAAACAAUUCUGUAGCAAACACACAUUCUGAAAUUAUCCAUGACUGCAAUUUACAAGUAAAUUAUUUCAUAUGAAAUACAAAAGAUUACUAUCACUCCAAACACACCCCACAAUUUUUUUUUUUGCUAAAUCUAAAUUAAAUGACACUUCCUUCAAAAAAUCUAUAAGCCUACUAUUUAUGUUACAAUUUUUUUCCUUUUCUUGCACACUUUGUUGCUGCUUCUUCCAACACGUUUUUUACUUAGCUGUCGAUUGAGAUGAUUCAAUCUUUAAAAAGUCCUUAUUCUUACAAAUGAAGCAACCAAUUUCUUCUCAACAGCAGGCAUUUUUACAUUACUAAACCACAGCACGAAAACAAAAUCAAAACAAGCACGCAAUUUCACAGUUUUGUUUACUUUGAAGGUCUAGCGGAUACGUCAUAUCACGGAAAUACCCGAACGACCAAACUCGUUUUUCUUCUGUUGAGACGACCUGGUAUCUAAUGACCUUGCGCAUGCGCGUAAUUUACUUCGGCGUACUUCGGCCUACUUCGUGAACUAUCAUUUGUUUUUUUCCCCAUGCAUUCCGUGUUACCGUGUUUUGUUGCUGUUUCUUAAUUCGCAUAUAUAUGGAAUUGUUCAAGAGAUAUUCCUAGUGAUUUUAUAUUAAUUAUUGUUGAAAUUAAGUUUACUGCUUUUAAGAUUGAUAAAAUACCUGCUACAUGUAAUGAAAAAAUAGCUUAGUCUGGAAGUUGACCGUGGUCAGCCAUGUGUGGAAGAAGAAAGCAAGCAAUUUUUCGAAGUUUUAUACAAUCGGAAGAAUUUUGUGAGUCCAUGCGCAAGGGCCAUCUCCCUAAUUCUCGGAAGUUUAUCUUGUUUGUGGACAAGAAAAUGUCCCUAGAAACAUCAGACGUAGUCCAUUAUGAAGAUUAAUCCUACUGUAUAAAAAAAGCAUCAAGGAAACCCCAGAGUUGGAACUUUGAAGAAAGUGACAGAUACAAUUACUAAAAUUGUUGAAUUGUCAAAGCUGUUGGAUGAUUUGUACAUGCAGAUUUGUGUGGUGUUUCAAGAUUAUUUUUUUUUUUUUAAUUAUUGUGAUUAAACAAUUCUAAUAUGAAUAUUUUACAUUUAUAUUUAUUUAAAAUGUUGGCUUAUAUUAACAAUGCAUUUUGUAAAUAAAUAUUUAUAAAGGUAUAGCUCAUUUAUUUAUUUUAAUUUUUGAAAAUUUACCAGCACAUAAACAAAGGAACUAUGUGCUACGAUUAUGGGAGUAAAUAUAAUAUUUUUAACUAUGACAUUUUAUCAUAUUUAGAUAAAGAAUACCAUUUUUUAAUUGGGAAGAAGUCAGGGCUUAGUAUAUUCUAAAUGGCUCCUUCUGACUUCUUAUACAUUCAACAAAAUAAAGAGAUUUUAUGUAACUGGAUUUUCCACACAAAACCCUCAAUAUACACUGUACAUGAUUAAAAUUCCACCUCUAAAUUGGGUUUAUAAUAGAAAAUGGUAGAAAGUAAUUUAUUUGGUGUGAAUUGUAAAAUGGCCAUUAAGUAAAACAUGUAGAGGCUUAGAGUUAUGUUUUUGCUCCAAAAGAAAGCUAUAUAGUUAUUAUAAGCACAAAAAUUAAGAGUGCUAUGUAUUUAAUUGCAUUCUAAAAUAGCAUGACUUUACUGUAAUUAUACUGGUUACAAAUUACCCAGAGAAUUUCAUAAAUUAACAUGUACUACACCAUGGAAAAUAACUUUAUCUUUGUAAAUUUUACAAGUGCUGUAAACAUAACGGUAAAACAAUAUUUUUAUGCUACGGAGUUUCAGUAAUUUUUACAGAACUUUUGUAAAUUUGAGGAACAAUCUGUAUUUGAAUAUUACGAAGUUAUCGUAUAUUUACUGCAUUGGUUUUGAAAUUUACAAAUAAUCUUUAUUUGAAUUUCACAAUGUACUUGUAUAUUUACAGUAUUAAUUGUAAAAUUUACUAAGAAUACAUUUUUUAGUAUUACGAAGUACCGGUAUAUUUACGGCAUUGGUCGUGAAAUUUACGAAGAAUCCAUAUCUGAGAAUUACAAAGUACUAGUAUAUCUACGGCAUUGGUAGUGAAAUUUACGAAGAAUCCGUAUCUGAGUUUUACGAAGUACUAAUAUAUUUACGGCAUUGGUCGUGAAAUUUACGAAGAAUCCGUAUCUGAGUUUUACGAAGUACUAGUAUAUUUACGGCAUUGGUUGUGAAAUUUACGGAGAUUUAGUUUUUUUCCCUAAUGAAGUAACCGUAAAUUUACGAAGACCACCGGAGAAUUUUUUUCCGGUACUUUUCGUAAAUUUACGGUAAAAUUUUUUAACAGCACCCUUAGCCUCAAUUAUUUUUUCUUAACUGAAAGCAGGUUAGCUAAAGCCUGGGUGUCUUACUGCUAUCAUCGGCCACUGCACUGGAGGGGAAGAGUAAGCGGGCCCUACCGAUUCUCCUUCCCUUCCCCUACCCCUGUUGCGAGCAGAAGCUAUAAGGUUGUGACGCCAUGAUGGGUCCCAAGUUUUCAAAUAUCUUACACCUAUUGUAUUUAACUAGCGCGGUAAUUAUAAGCAGGUGGUGACUGGGUAAUUCUUCAAGCUAAAGCUAAUUAUUGUUUCCAGGAAUAGGCCGGUUUUCCUGAAACUUAACCCUUUUAUAUAUUUUUUUUUGUAUUGUCGAGCUUCGAGCAUGAUUUAUGAUUUUGAGUGGACGUAAACAAGGCACUUGGAUUGAUAAAAAUACCUUUAAUUAAUUUCUUACUUCAUCACUCAAACAAUAUUUUAUUAAAAAUUUGAUAAUAAUUUUACCAUUACAAUAUUUAAAGUUAUGUACAGAAAACUGCUAAAAUAGCACUAUUUUACACCUUAAAAUCCAAAUUUUUCCCGGGGGUGGACCCCUGGACCCACCGCUUUAUUAGGGGGGGGGGGGCAUGCCCCCCAUACACAAAUCCUGGCUACGCCACUGAUAUAGCCUCAUCAGUACCUUUAUAUUUUAUGUAAAACUAUCGCCCAUGUGCAUCAGACUGAAGACUUAGCUUCUUCCUAGACCUUCAUAAAACCAUCUUUUAUCACACCAUCUCUGCGACCAAGCUACAUUUCCCUAAUGUUCUUGAUUAUGGUUACUAGUCAUACCAUUUUACAAUUUGUUGCUUUAUUCUACUGGCACUACACUCCACAUACCACACACCCCAAUAAAUACAUUUUAUUUACAAUUUUACUGCACACAUUCAUGUUUCUUAUGUAAUAUUAUCCUCUUUCGAAGACAUUCACUUUUAUGAAUUUUCAACAAUUUCAAAAGCCCUAUUUUUGUACGAAUUUACACAUCUGAUUUUUUCAAAAUUAUAAUUUCUCAACAUUCGCUGUACCAAGUGACGAUUAAUUAUGCCGAAAAUGUGUUACUACGAACCUAAAAGCUUGUUUAUUCCACAUCAAUAUUACUGAUUACUACAUUUGCU
Molecule: long non-coding RNA, 3582 nt
Organism: Bacillus rossius redtenbacheri
Lineage: Eukaryota; Metazoa; Arthropoda; Insecta; Phasmatodea; Bacillidae
Exons: 3
Source: RefSeq, a predicted model, not a curated record